Molecule: long non-coding RNA, 15959 nt
Filed under: Vitis vinifera (wine grape)
Lineage: Eukaryota; Viridiplantae; Streptophyta; Magnoliopsida; Vitales; Vitaceae
Description: long non-coding RNA (VVIN_LNC002386)
Source: RNAcentral
GUCAACUUCAUUUUAUUAGUAGAGACCCGACUUUAGGGACUUAGAGGGGUGCUACGGUCUUUACCGUACCUUCUUGAUAAGUAACUCGACCCCCGAGCCUGACCCGGUUUUUCACAGAUCAUUUUUUCUAAAAUAAGGAGUCACGCUUAGGGUUUUCUUUCUUAUUUUGUUUACCCUUUUAAAAAUAAAAUAAAAAUAAGUGGCGACUCCAAGUCAUUUCUUUUUAAUAAAUAAAAAUUAUUUCCAAAAUAAAAAUCGAGCUCACCAUCGAGUGGAAGCGCAUGAGCUAAAAUGUGGGGUCCACAACGUGAUAUAUAUAUAUAUAUUAGUAGCUCAACACGUGUUAUGCACAUGAGGGUAUAUGAAUGAUAAUGUUUUCAUGAUUUAAACACCUUUUUCAAAUUUAUGUGCAUAUAAUCAUCUUCAAAUAUUUCAUUUUUAAAUAAUAAAUUUAUUUAAUAAAAGUUGAAGUUAACAUAUUCAUUAUUUGUUCUUUUAUAGUUCACUAGAUUUUUGUUUAAUCAUUAUCUUAACUAAAUUAUUUAAAUCAAAAUUUAUUAUAACAAUUGUAUAUAUCAUAUAGUUAUGUUUGGUUUCUAGAAAAUUUGAGGAAAAAUGAAAAGGAAAAAAAAUAAAGAGAAAAAUUAGAAGAAAGAAAAAGUGGAGGAAAAUAAAAAAGAUUUAAAAUCGAUAAAUUAUUUUUAUUUGUUACUUCAAACUCAUUUACUUAUUUUAAUCCAUUGAUAUAAAUAUUAAAUAAUUUGAAAAUGCGUGAGUUUUUUUUUUUAUUUAUUAAUUUUGAUUAUAUUUGAUUUUCUUUGGUAUUUUUCAUAGGACAAUUAAGAAUGAAAAAAUAAUUUUCCUUGAUAUUUUUUUUUGGCACAGUACUUUUGAGAAGAGAACCAAACACAGAGUUUGAAAAGUAAUUUAAUUAUUAACUUUUAAUAAUUAAUAAUAAUUUGUAUUAUAUCCUUUAAAUUGGUUUUAUUGAAUGAUUGUUUCUUUAAUACAAAUGUUAAGACUAUUGGUUUUAUUGAGUUAUAUUUUUUUUUAAAUACAAAUGUUAAAAUUGAGUUAGUAUGUAGUAUAGGUGGAGGUGGCUAGAAGAAAUAAAGCUUCAAAAACUAAUUAAUAAUUAGAAAAAAUUAAUUUUAUUAUUUUAAAUGUAUGCAACUAUAGACCCCCUCAAGUAAGAUGGGUUCUUUUCUAUUAUUUUUAUUAUUUUUUCUGGCCACUUUGAGAAGGAGUCGUUCUUGGGUAGCCAAAUGAGCUUGCAGGUGAAGGAAGAACAACUAGUGGGUGAGUUGUUCUAGGCAUACGGAUGGGAUGGGAGGAAGAGAGGGCAGAGAGCUAGUUGGAGCUAUAGAGAGGACGACGGUUGAAGUAGCGGGCGGGUACCAGCAUUGCAUCAAAAGAAAGAUAUUUUUUUGAACUGAGUGGAAGGGAGAGCUUGAAGAGAAGGAAAAACAGAGUUUCAUAGAGGGGAGCGAAAUGUUGCUUGAGAAGAGCUUUCCCAGGUAUUGCAACUAUAGCUUCUUUGUUGUCUCAUUUUCAGCUGUCUUCCUAAGAAUCAGUUUGCUGUUUUGAUGUGGAUAGGAAGAGCCAUUUGUUUGUCAUGGUCAUGUUUAGUCUUCUGUGUCCAUACUCUGUUUUUUUGGGUUUUCCUUGCUUUUCUUUGUGCAAUAUUGAUGCAUAAGUUUGUUUCUGAACUUGAUAUAUGAGACUCUUGUUUAUUUUCUUUGUUAACCCUACUUGUUUUGAGCUCAUGGAUGUCACUUGAAAUGGAGCUCUGUACCAUCAUGUGUUUCAUGUUCUCGUAUUUGUUUAAUCCUCAUUGUUCGAUCUGGCUAUUGUCUUUGUUGUUACUCCUAUAUCCGUGCUGUGUUUGGUGGGUUGUUUGACCUGGAAUUUGGUGAAAAUGGAUGGAGCUAUGUUCUCGCUAUCAAGCUUGGUGCCCGCCUUACUAAGAAUGGUGAGACUCAAGUCACUGUUGAGUACCACAAUGAAAAUGGCGCCAUGGUUCCUCUUCGUGUGCACACUGUUUUUGUCUCUAUCCAGCGUGAUGAGAUCGUCACCAAUGAAUGAUCUUGCUGCUCUGGUACCAAAGAGAGUAUCAUUAAGCCUGUUAUUCCUGAGAAGUACCCAGAUGAAAAUAUCAUUUUCCAACACCCACUAAGCCACUUCUCAUACCACCUGUUUCACCAAUAAUGCUCACGCCUAACCCACUUUCAGUAUUUUUCAUUUCAUUCCCCAUGUCCACCAUCCAUCAUAUUCAUUGCCAGUAGCUCAUUUCAUCUCACCACUUUUCCACUCUCCAUGCUCGCCAAACCCACUUUUUUUAAUACCCUGCAAACCCACUUCCUUCGCUACCCAUUUACCUUCAUGCAUGCAUGUACCCAUUUUCCAUACCCAUUAAACCACCUAUCACCCUCACCAUCCAUCUAACCCACCUUCAUCUCAUUCCAAUUAUUCCUCAUAUACAUGAAGCCCGAUGCGUGCAUGACAUCUCCAUACCCAUCUUUCAUGCCCCCAUGCAUGUACCCAUUUUCCAUACCCAUUAAACCACCACCAACUCCUCCACCAAGCCACCCAUGGAUAGAGAAGAGAGAGGGAGAGGUUUUAGAGAGAGAAAAAUGGCACCUGAGUUUUCAUGUAGAACAUUUUGUUUUUAGUUUUAGGCACUGCAGACAACCUUUUGAUUGAGUGAGAAUUGAUUCCAGCUUGCCGGUACUAGGUUGUAGCCCACUACUUAAAAAAAAAGAGAAUAGGUCCUGCUUGGAGCUUACAUUGUCGAUAACAAAAACUACUGGUGAGGUUGAUCCCAAUGCCAUCAAGUAACAGUUUCCAAAAUGAAGGCUAUCAAAGCCAUUGAUGGCAUUUUUUUUUAUUAUUUCUUUCUUGUAUGGGAAUCGUAAUAUGGCAGUAAAAUCAAUGGAAGACUUUUUGGUGGGCCAUCCCUAGAAUAUAUAUGCCCAUUUUCCUUUUUGGUCUCACAUGUUUUCACAAAUUGUUUUCUUAAAAUAACUUUCAAAAUUUUGGAUUUUCAAUCACUUCAAUCUUCAAAUUAACUUUUCAAAAGCUCUAACUUCCAAAUUUAAUUUUUUUUUAUUUUUAAAAUGCCAUCUUCAAAUUAAUCUUUCAAAAAUUCUAACUUCCAAAUUUUUUUUAAUGCCAUUUUCAAAUUAAUUUUUCAAAAAUUCUAACUUCUAGAUUUAAGUUUUUUUUAAAAUGCCAUCUUCAAAUAAAUUUUCCAAAAAUUCUAGUUUCCAAAUUUAAUUUCUAAAAGGCCAUCUUAAAAUAAAUCUUCCAAAAAAUUCCAAUUUCCAAAUUCGAUAUUUUAUUCCAUCUUUAAAUAAUUCUUCAAAAUUCCGAUUUUCAAGUUUAAUUUCCAAUUUUCAAAAUUCCAAUUUUCACGUUUAUUUAUCGAAUCAUUAUUAUUUUCAUUAUUAUUAUUAUUAUUAUUAUUAUUAUUAUUAUUAUUUUAUUUAUUUUUAAAAUUCCAUCUUUAAAUAAUUCUUCAAAAUUCCGAUUUCCAAAUUUAAUUCCCAAUUUCUGAAAUUCCAAAUUUUCAAUUUCCGAAUUUAAUUUCCAAUUUCCAAAAUUCCAAUUUUCACAUUUAUUUAUUCAAUCAUUAUUAUUUUCGUUAUUAUUAUUAUUUUAUUUAUUUAUUUAUUUUUAAAAUUCCAUCUUUAAAUAAUUCUUCAAAAUUCCGAUUUCCAAAUUUAAUUCCCAAUUUAUGAAAUUCAAAUUUUCCAAUUUCCGAAUUUAAUUUUUAAUUUCCAAAAUUCCAAUUUUCACAUUUAUUUAUUCAAUCAUUAUUAUUUUUCGUUAUUAUUAUUAUUUUAUUUAUUUAUUUAUUUUUAAGAUUCCAUCUUUAAAUAAUUCUUCAAAAUUCUGAUUUCCAAAUUUAAUUCCUAACUUCUGAAAUUCCAAUUUUCCAAUUUCCGAAUUCAAUUUCCAAUUCCUGAAAUUCCAAUUUUCACAUUUAUUUAUUUAUUUAUUUAUUAUUAUUAUUAUUAUUAUUAUUUUAUUUUUUUAUUUUUAAAAACUCCAUCUUCAAAUAAUUUCCCAGAUUCCAAUUUUUAUAAUUUAAUUUUCAUAGUUCCAAUUCUCAAAUAAUUUUAAAAAUUCCAAUUUCUUUCAAAUUUAAUUCCAAAAUUCCAAUUCUUAAAUUUAAUUCCCAAUACUCCAAUUUUCAAAUAAAUUUCUUUCAAAUUUAAUUUCCAAUUCUUAGGGGUUUCCAAAUAUCUUUCACAUUUAAUUUCCAAAAUUCCAAUUCUUAAAUUUAAUUCCCAAGACUCCAAUUUUCAAAUAUAUUUAAAAAAUCCAUUUUUCUCUUGAACAGUUUUAAUUCCACUAUGGUUCUCAAAUAAUCUUCUGUUUUUCUUGAUUUUACAUAAGCAUGAAUGCAAUUUCAUAAUUCCAGAAUAAUGGAAUUUGUGAGACUAAUUCGUGCAAGAUAGAUUGGGCUUUGGUGGGGGCCCCACAUAUGAGUUUUCUCUUAUGAUUGUCAAUUGUUAUGCUUGAUGAGUAUUGCUUGAUCUUUGCCUUGCUCUUUGAUAUGCAUGUGAAGAUUUUAUACUUGAGCUAACCUUGUUUCCAUGAUAGCGCACUAUUAAUUGCUAUUAAGGUACGAUCUCAUUCCCAUUUCGCUUAUUCUUAUGCAUGAUUCACUUUAUUAUUGGAUUAUUUCAUUUUGAUAUCCAUUGAUUUUCUUACCAAUUGCUAUGCUUGCAUUAUCUUAUUAGUAGAAACCCGUUUUUAGGGACGUAGGGGGUGCUACGGUCUUUAUCGUACCUUCCCGAUAAGUAACUUGACCCCCGAGCCCAGAUUUGGUUUUUCAUAGACCACAUUUUUCAAAUAAGGAGUCACACUUAGAGUUUUCUUUCUUAUUUUGUUUACCCUUUAAAAAUAAAACAAAAAUAAGUGGCGACUCCAAGUCUUUUCUAAAAAAAUCAUAUUUUUCACCAAAUAAAACAAAAAAACGAGUCUCGCAAUCGAGUGGGAAUGCAUCGAGCGAAAAUGCAGGGUCUACAAAAUGGCGACUCCACUGGGGAGUCACAAGAAGGUUAAACUUGAACUUAAAAUGAAGCAAAUGUGGAGUUUGAUGGGUCGAUCAGUGGGUACCUAUCUCUUGAUUGCACAUUGAGAGCUCUUGAUAUAAUUGUCCUUGAUUCAUGCUUGGUUAUUGUGUUCAUUUGGGGCUUUGACACAUUGAUUAUGAUGUUUGAUUAUCUUGAUUAUGAUGUUUGAUUAUCUUGAUUAUGAUGUAGCAUUUUUUUUUUCUGUGCUUCAUUGCUAUAUUUGUUUGGGACAUUGACAUGUUGAUUAUAUAUUGAUUGAUUAUCUUGCAUGUCUUAGCAUAGAGACUUUGAUUUUUCCAUGAUUGUUCUGCUCACUUCACAUGUAUAGGCUCAUUGAUGGUGACUUUUGACUUGAUGUGUUGAUUCUCUGGCUUGUAUAUUGUCUUGAUCAUUUCUGAGCAUGCUGUCUUUGUCACUAUUCCUCUUGAUAGUCAUAGCUUGUGUGGACAUGGCUGAUAUAUCUGAGUUCCGCUUGACUGCCUGUUGCAUGACUACUCUUCUUCUGUAUGAUUGCAUGUCGUUUGUCCGUGUGGGCCGCACAUCUAUCCCUUUACUUCCAACCCUCUAGUUUUCGGUCAUUUCUUUCAUCUUGGCUCUCACUUUUGCAAGUGUGAGGCCUUGUGUGUGCUUGUUUCUUUGACCGAGCUAGAGGUUAGGAAUAGGGUUUAGCGAUGGGCUAUAUCGAUGUUUGGGAGUAUUAUGGAGGAGUGUCCAACACAUUGAUGUUGAUUGGAGUCCGAUCAUUAAAGACCUGUAUAGCCCAGAGCUAGGUUUCAUGGAUAUUUGUGAGACCAAUAUGUUUCAUCUUCUGCUUUAGCUUCAUAGGGUUUUCGGAUGCACCCGCAUCGCUCACUAUGCACUUUAGUUUACCAUUGAGUGUUGAGAGUUUUGAGAGAUUUCACCAUAGGAAACCUCCUAGGAUGUCGAGGUAGUGCAUGUGUGGAGGUGAUGACCACCUUGCAUGGAAGUGCCCUGUCUCUUCGGAGGCGUGCAGAGGGUUGCGUUACCGCUGGAGGGUAUGAUCGCUUCUGCUAGGGAUCUUUUAAAGUCCACCCAUAUCUCUUUAGAGCCACCUUGAUCUUGUAAGUUGAGCCUUAGAUCUUUUAAUCAUGAUUUUAUUUCCUAACAUGUGGGUGCAUCUGUGAGCCUUCAGAGCCGGUUCAGUAGUGAUAGGUUUAGUUACCUUCGUAAUAGCUUCUUGUGUAUCUGCUCAAGAUUGGAUAUCAAUUUGAUUACUCCCGGGUUACCUUUCGGCAUAUUUGAUAGACGUUCCUUGUAGAGUUUCCUUUACCCCGUAUCUUAUUUAGUAUUUCCAUUGUUGUAGGGGUAUUGAUACGUUCAGUUUGGGUUCUACUUCUUGGAUUAGAGUUGGGGGCAGAUUGACAAGGGUAUCAGACCAAUUAGACCAAAUAUCAGAUCAGAGAGAUAUGGAUUCAUAGAUAGUUACCGUCGACCAAUUUGCUACGACCAUGGCUUCCAUUCAAAAGGCUAUAGCUAGCCUCGGCCGGAGGAUAGAUGGGCAGCAGGCCUAGCAAGGUCCCCCUCAGGAUGACGCCCAGUAUGACCAUACAGUGCUACCGCCCCCUCCACCCAGUCAGUCAACACCCUAGGGUAUACUUUUCACCCUACAUAGUCAAACUGAGGUUGCCCCACCUCUUGUCAUCGUGCCUACCCCGACCUCAGAGGACCCACAUGCUCACAUGGAUAGGCUUCAGCGGAGGUUGAGGAAGUUGAUGACUUCAGAUAGAGCUAUUACUUGGGAUGAUUUCGAUGGACUACUAGUGGCUAGUUUGCCAUCCAAGUUCAAGAUGAUAGAAAUCGAGCGAUACACGUGGAUUGGUUGUCCUCACAUCCAUUUGAGGCUUUACAGUACGAUCAUGAGGGCCCAUGGAUUGGAUGAGACCCAGAUGAUUAUGCUUUUCCCCAUGUCCCUGAGUGGUGCGACACAACGAUGGUUUGCUUCAUUGGAUGUAUCAUGUUGCCGGACUUGGGAUGAUUUUGCCCAAGAGUUUUUGAGAUAGUUUGCAUUUAAUACUGUCAUUGAUGUCUCGAGGAGAGAGUUAGAGGCAUUGAGACAGGGGCCAAAGGAUUCGAUCACCUCAUUUAUUUCCCGUUGGAGGGAGAAGAUUUCGCAGGUUAUUGAUAGACCAUUUGAGAGGGAUCAAAUCAGCAUGAUUAUGAGGAGCUUGCAGCCUCGAUUUGCUCGGCACUUGAUGGGAUUUCCUCAUAUGGAUUUUGGAUCUUUGGUACAGGCCUUGUACGGUAUAGAUGAGGGCAUAACUAGAGGAUUAUGGUCUGAAUAUUCUCUUUUUGAUUUGAAGGGGAAAAAGCCUUUAGGAAGACAAAGACCAAGAGAUGUGGGUGCUAUCAGUUUGGCAAGUUUGAGACCACCUAGGCGCUAUAAGACAGUUGGGCAGACUUUUGGACUCUACUACCCACUAUCGCCUCGUGUUCAGUAUAGGCCACGAGCACCUCAUUAAUCAUAUGAUUAGGCCUACAUACCUCCUACAUCAGCACUACCUUACCAUGCCGCACAAGGCACAAAGAGGCCCCCUAUUUCAUAUUCUGCCACAGGGCAGCCAUGCUAUGCAGCACAGUUUGCGCGAGACCUUUAAUAUCCUAUCGUAAACCUAGAGCUCAGCAAACCUCUACUCCUUUUGCUUUGAUGACUCAGAGACAGUUUUCACAGUUGGGUAUGCCGUUGAGCCAGGCUCUUUGGAAACUCACAGAGGCCGAAUUAUUGACGACUCUCACUCCUAGACCACCACCUCAGCUUGUUGUGCCUCAGUUCAGGAUGGAUCUACACUGUGCGUAUCAUCAGGGGUCGGGACAUGAGACUGACCACUGUAUUGCUUUGAGACAUGCCAUCCAGGAUCUGAUUGAUUAGGGUUUGGUUCACUUAGGUCAACCAAUUGUAACCACAAACCCAUUACAGGUUCACAUUACACACGCGGUUCCCCCUCCGACCGAGGGCGUACAUUCUAUUGACUUUGCUGAACUUGAUGAUCACAUCCACAUGUUGAGCUGGGAUGAGUCAGAGCCAGAGCCAGAGCCUAUAGUAUUAGACGAGAUUUAUGAGAUAGACAGAGUGGCUUUGGGCCCUCGGAUGUCCACACCAUUCAGACUGAUCCUUGAGGCGGCAUUAGUACAGACGACCACUGUCGAGCCAUUGAUUCUUCCACAUACAACAUUCAGGCACCAUUCAUCUUGAUUCCAGAUGUUGAGGAGGUUCAGACUUCGUAUGUUGAUGUUUCUCAGACUCCAUAUGUUGAUGAUGUUCAUACUUCAAAUGUACAGUAUGUUAUCUACGGGGGUAGGGUGGUACGACAGCAGGCCCUUGCAGCCGCUAGACCCUUGGAGGGGACAUCCUCCCAUGAGGAGGUCAGGAGAGAGGAUGAUGAGAUCCUGAGAUAAUUAUAGAGCACCCAAGCUUGUAUUUCUAUUUGGAGCUUGCUGGCAUCUUCCAACACUCAUAGAGACACAUUGAUUUGAGCCUUGAGCCAGAUCAGAGUUGAGAUUACCACCACCUCGGAGGGAUUGAUUCAUAUGGUGACGGCUGGCAAAGCCACUUGUAUAAUAUUCUUUGAUGAUGACUUGCCACCUAAUGGUCCAGACCAUACAUGUCCACUAUAUAUUUUAGUCGGUUGUUCAGGCCGCCGAGUCUCAUUUGUUCUCUUGGACAAUGGCUCGUCCUUGAACGUUUGCCUUCUAGCUACUGCCAUUGCCCUCGGUUAUGCGCCCUCUGACUUUGGUCCCUCCACUCAUAUAGUCCGAGCCUAUGAUAACAUCAGAAGGGAGGUUAUGGGAACUUUGGAGAUUGAGCUAUUGAUAGGUCCGACCACUUUUCCCAUAUUGUUCUAGGUUUUGAGGAUUCCUACAUCCUUUAACCUGCUUUUGGGUCGACCUUGGAUUCACAGAGUUGGGGCUAUUCUUUUUUCCUUUCAUCAGAAGGUGAAGUUCAUUCACGAUGGCCAGGUCAUCACAGUGCAGUUUGUGGGAGAUAUGUUCAUUUCUUUUGAGCCAGUGCUUCAGAUCAGUCACAGUGAUGACGACUUAUUUCUGACUGGGUUCACAUUCGAUGAGGUGCAGACCCUAGAGAUGGAGGAUUUUUUCCGAGACUUCAUGGCUAUGUCGUUUGACCAACAUGACAACACAGUGGUGCUUGAUAUGAUGAGGAACAUGUCUUAUCUACCGAGCAUGGGAUUGGGGCGACGCCAGCACGAGCUUAGUGAGUUCAUGGCUAUCUUAGAUCAUGAUGUACCGUUCGAACUCGGGUUCAUCCCCAUUGAGGCCGAUUAUCGAUAUAUGACGCGAGUGCGCAAGGAGAGGGUGACAGCUCGACUGACUCACACACCGUUUGACUAUCCUAUUCGCCCGUAUACCAUGAGCUUAGCGGACUACUUUGUUUGAGGGUGUCAGAGCUACAAACACAAUCCGAUGGGAUCAUUGAGGGAUUCAACACUGCUCAGGAGGCCAAGCUUCAGCGUCUUGUCCACUAGCUACAGUUGAGUAACAGAGCUCCUAGCACUUCUGUUUUUGCAUUGGUCACCCCAUCAUCUCCAGAUCGUAUGAGCCUUAUGACACUCUAUUUCCCAGAUGAGGUCGAUGAGCAUGGGACAUUUUCCGAGAUCGGAGACAUAGUAGAUGGAACUGUUCCACAUGACGAGUACAUUGAUGAGAUGCUCGCUAUGAGUAUGAGCCAGAUUGAUGGGGUAGUUCAACUCGAGCUUGAUUCGCCAUUCGAUAUCUUCGAGGUGUCCGCAAUCGAGAUCGCUUAGAAGAUUCAAACUGCUCCUGCUCUGGAGAUUUCAGAUGAUAUUAUAGUUAUUGACGAUUUGUUUGAUGGCCCUAUUGGCCCAGUUAAGGGAGUGUCUGACUUUGUGGACCCACCUCUUUCAUUUGAUGUUUUAUCAAGAUAUGUCUCCCGUUCUGACGAUGUUCAUGACUCUUCAUUUAUAGAUUUGAGCAUUUUCGAGUAUCUGCCUGUCUCUUGUGAUAUCACUUUAUCUGCACUCUCUUCACCCACAUCACAGAUAUUUGAUAUAGAUGAUGAGAUUGUACAACACGAUUCAGAUGAUGACUCAUUUUCUGCUUCUGAUUUGGACCUCACUGAUUAGAGAGUUUCAACUACCACAAGAGACGCUGAGAUUGUUGAUUUUGGUACAGAAGACCAACCGAGGGAGUUGAGGAUUGGAUUGGAUUUGUCUACAAAUGAGAGAGAUGGCCUCGCUCGGUUGCUCAUAUCAUAUUUGGAUGUCUUUGCAUGGUCCUACGAGGACAUGUCGGGCCUUGAUCCAUCCAUAGUACAACACCACUUGCCACUUUUGCCUCAUGUCAGAUCGGUUAAGCAGAAGUUGAGGUGAUUGCACCCUCGCUGGAGUUUGCAGGUGAAAGAGGAGAUUCAGAAGUAGCUCAGUGUGGGAUUUUUAUCAGUAGUUGAGUAUCCCGAGUGGCUGGCCAAUGUCGUCCCUGUUCCCAAGAAGGACGGCAAGGUGAGAGUUUGUGUUGAUUUCCGAGAUCUCAACAAGGCCAGUCCUAAGGAUGAUUUUCCCCUCUUACACAUCAAUAUGCUAGUUGACAGUACGACAGGUCAUUCGAUGUUGUCCUUUAUGAACGAAUUUUUUGGGUACAAUCAGAUUUUGAUGGCUCCAGAGGACAUGGAGAAGACGUCCUUCAUUACUGAGUGGGGUACUUGCUGCUAUAGAGUGAUUCCGUUUGGUUUGAAGAAUGUAGGAACUACUUAUCAAAGAGCAGCGACUACUUUAUUCCAUGACAUGAUGCACCGGGAUGUCGAGGUUUAUGUAGAUGACAUGAUAGUGAAAUCUCAAGAUAGAGUAGAUCACCUAACAACCUUUGAGAGAUUCUUUAAGAGGAUCAGGCAGUUCAGAUUGAGACUGAAUCCCAAGAAGUGCACUUUUGGAGUGACUUCUAGGAAACUACUACGAUACAUGGUCUGUGAGAGAGGUAUAAAGAUAGAUCCAGAUAAGAUCAGAGCCAUCUUUGACAUGCCUGGGCCGAGGACCGAGAGAAAGAUCAUAGGCUUCUUGGGUAUACUUCAGUACAUCAACAGAUUUAUUGCCAGAUUGACAAACAUUUGUGAGCCUAUUUUCUGACUUUUGAGGAAGAGUCAACCUACCGUUUGGGAUGAUCAGUGUCAGCGCGCAUUUGAGAGGAUCAGAGAGUACUUGUUAUCACCUCUAGUCUUGGUCCCCCCUACACCAGGCCAUCCUCUACUCCUAUACCUGUCAGUUUCAGACAUAGCAUUGGGAUACAUGUUGGCUCAGCUCAAUGGUUUAGGGAAGGAGUGAGCUAUUUAUUAUCUGAGUAAGAGGAUGCUAGAUUACGAGACGAGAUAUGUCACGAUUGAGCGCUAUUGCUUGGCAUUGGUUUGGGCUACUCGGAGACUGAGACAUUACAUGAUUGAGUAUUCAGUGCACUUGAUAUCCCAUCUUGAUCCUCUAAGAUAUUUGUUUGACAGGCCUGCUUUGGUUGGACGACUCAUGAUAUGGUUGGUACUUCUGACUGAGUUUGACAUCCAUUAUGUCACGCGGAAGUCCAUAAGAGGGAGCAUUGUUGCAGAUCACUUAGCCUCAUUACCGGUUUCGAAUAGUAGAUUGAUGAUGAUUUCCUAGAUGAGGAUGUUGCUAUUGUGACUAGUCAGUCAAGUUAGCGUUUUGUAGACCCCCAUAUGGGGCUCGGUUUUCAUGCAGCCUAUUUUGCCAAGUGUCACAAUUCCAUAAGGCCACGUGUUGAUUUCUAGUUGGCUGUUGGGAAUCAGAGUAGUGGAAUUGGAGGACCAAUGAGAGGUCGACACGUGGCAAGAAGAUUCCAAAGAAUCUGCAGAAGCCGUUGUAGAGGAGCGUUUCUGUUACAGAGGGAGGAGGAGAUGCUUUUUGGGGGGCGGCCUGGAGAGUUUGGAGGAGUUUUUGAGUUUAGGGAAGCUACCGGAGAGAAGAAAACCUGGGGGGAAAACGAGACAGGAAGGCUUGUUGGUGAGGAGAUAUUUUGAGUGUGUUUUGGAGCUUGAGGGAAGGAGCAAGCUGAGAAAACAGGGCAUUUUCUGGAAAGAGAGAACAGAGAAUAGCUUAAGAAGGGGAGACGAGCUAAGGAAGGAAGAAGAAGAGGAUGGUUUGCUGAGUUCCUGUCAAUCUUGUGAGAGGGGAUCAUUCUGAGGUAUGCUUUUCUUCUCUUUUUCUACUCAUUCUUGGGAGAUUUUUAAGGAUUGCUAGUAAGUAUGUUCAUAUAUAUGUUUAAUUUUUUAUUUUUUGUGGUUCUUGCUGAAGAUCAGUUUGUCCUUAUUUCAUUUUCCCCAUGAUAUAUCUGUAAUCGUGCUUUGUUUCUUGUUGGAUACUCAUUUGAUUUCACUCACUUUCACCUGAGUCCAUGGAUUGAUGCAUAACUGAGGCUUGUAUGGAUUCACUCUGCUCCUAUUAUUUGUACUCUGUUUUUCCACUUUCCCUUGUUCCUAGUACCCGCCCAUGGUGCAUACCUGUUCUUCCAUCCCUGCCUGAGGGAACAAAGAACUACUAAGGUGCAAAUGUAAGGAGACUAAAGCCAGGAUAUUAAUUGGAGUGUGAUUAUGCAUGCUCUGUUUUUGGGGCCUCUUGUCUCUCUACCCGAUUCUCAAAUCAUUUCUUAGUUUCAUUAUUUCUUGGGGAUACUGCUUGUUUGCUCCUGCUGUUUACUUCGAGGUUAUGGUGGCUCGCUUGUUGGUCAUUGGCUGUCAAAGAUGCUAGCUGGAAUUGCACAGUUUGGGCUCUACUUUAUAAGGUUGGGAGUAUGAAUUUGGUUCUAUCCUUUGGAAAUCAUCUGAGCCAGAGCAAUAUAUGCCCAGUUGAGAAAGGUGUCUAAUGGAUGCUACCAAGAGGGCAAACAUUGUGGGGGAUUGAUUUAAUAAGAAUAUGAGCGAGCUUUCAUGUCAGUAUUAGCCUGAAGCUGGAUCAAAAGCUAAGUAUCAUGCGGCCGCCAUGGAUCAUCUGAACCCCGAAGCUUUCUGCCAGUCCACUCACUACCCAUCUCCUGAUCCGUGUGUCACCUCCACACGCCCACGACAUCACCUGCGGUUGUAACUGUGCAAGGCAUAGCCAAGGAGGGAGAGCAAUCCAACUGCGGGGGUUGCCGACGUCACCGGUGAAGGAAUCUGUCCACUUGACGAGUCACCACCUCGGCAUCAAAGCUUCUACAUUCCGGCGAUGCUCGAUUUGUGAUGAGAUGAGUCUUGUGACUGAUUCUCCUGUACACUCAUCAAGCAGUAAUGGAUUUGCUGCAUAUCUUGAUGCAGAACUAGAUUCUGAUUCUUCUGACGUUUCACCGGAGUAGGAAGCUGAGGAUGACGAGCAGGAAGCUGAGGACGAAUCUGAUUCUGAGUACAAGAGGGUAAAAAGGCAGAAGGUAGAGGAGUUUGAAAGCAUAGAGGAGCAUCCAGGGUCAAUUUCAGAUGGAUCCCUAGAGCACAAUCUAUAAGUAACCAUCGUAAAGGAUACAUGCACACAUCCUGGCGUUUUUAGAGAAUUGUAUAUACGUUGUGGGCAGCCAAAUGGCGCAAGGGCCCCAUCCCCUCAAGUGGUCAAAAACUGAAGAUGCCACGUGUUCCUGGAUCAUUAGAAGCUCCCCAAAAUUCAGAGGUGGCUGGAGAUGUUACGUCACCACCUCUAACACCAAUUCCUUUAUCAAACAUCCAGUAUGUAUCAACUCCUUCUACCAAUGAUACGAGUCAACACUUGGAGAGAAGGGUUUCGUUGGAAUUCCUGAUAAAACUUCUGACACAAUCAAAGAGCAACUUGCAUCAGUCACACCGCUGGUAGAAAAUCUAAGGUCGAAGAAAGAUCUUUCCAUGCAACUCGGUAUCCUCAUUCCCAUCAUCUGUGAUUGGUUAAACCAGCAUUGGGAGGGUAGUCUUAAUGAAUUCAACAAACCUAAGUCCCCGCUUAUUCGGUUGAUGUCCACUGAUUAGAAGAAUGAGCAUCAUUGCGCUUUCCUUCACCAUGCGGCAAGUUCUCAAGGGGCAACUAUGAUUGAGCACGCCAAUGUUACAGCUGCUGGUGGAAAUGCAAGCUAUGUACUUGACGGGGUGCCUCCCAUCCUGUCAUCUGCUUAUUUUCAUCAUUACAAUACACAACUAAUGCCUGCUGAUGUUGGAAUUAUUAAUCCAUCAACCUUAAAAGGAGAAAACAAGCUAGAUGUCUUAGAAGAGUUUGAGCAGAAAAGUGGAAGUGUCCGAGAAUUUGGCCAUGAUGAAAUAGGCAGCUGCCAUGGCACAGGUGGAAGUAGUUAAUGCUAGGCAAAACUGAAGCAGAUAAGAAGGUUUAAGGAAGUUUGAAAGGGAUUUAGAGGAAGAGAAUGGUAGUACCGGCUUGAAGAGUUGCAACAAGGAAAUGGGGCUUUAUAGACGGCAACAGAGGAAAACAUUCAAGCAGAGCUUCUUUCAUGGAAUGGCUUUCCUAAUUCCUACUGUUGAUGUGUCAGUGGUAGACCUCACUGUCAGGCUGGAGAAGGCUGCCACCUAUGAGCAAGUUAAAGUUGCUCUUAAUCUGAGUUAUGUUCCAGUAGGAGAGUCACGAAGCCAAAUACACAAUCACCCAAGGAAUUAUCUCACUCACAGAACAAUGUGAUCAACUUUGGCUUGGUUGUCAAAAAGAGAUAAUCAUGAAGCAGAGUAUUGGCUAAAUUACGGGUGAUGAUUCAUGGAAGUCCGGAAUUAAUAUUCCUAGACAAGCUUUUGCUCCCCCGUGUGAAAAUUCAGAGACCGUCAGGGAAUUGGAGCCUCUACAGGCGCUGAAAUUACUCCAUCUGAUGGAAUCCAGGCUGCUCAUGAAGAAUUAUAUCUUCGUAUAUCAGCCGAGACAUUUGAGAACAUUGAUGCUGCAGUCGCGCUGAUUGAAUUUCAGGAAAUCCAGCUGUUGUUUCCACCACACCAACUUCAGUUUCUGAGGCUAAUGUGAAUGUUCAUAAUCAAAGCCAUAAGUGGUUUGAUGGGAUUGAUUGGAAGAGGAUGUCAGAUUCUGUGGGAGCACCCAGUUAAACCUUAUUGGCAAAAGCUUUGCAUGCCCAUCAUUAAGCCACGUCCCUUUCUUUUGUUUAUUUAUUUAUUUAUUUCUUCAUCUUUUAAUUUUAAAAUAGAUUCCUAAACUCUAGUUUGCAAAUAAUUUUUCAAAUUCCUUUUUUUCAAAUAAUUUCAUCUCUUUAAUUUUUCAUCCUUAGUUUUUUUCGUUUAGGUUCCAAAAAUCCGUUUUUCAAUAAAAUUUGGCUGUCAUUUUCUUUUCGGCGAGCCACUUUUGAUUUUUUCAUGAUUUUAAAAUGUUUUAAAAUAAAUAUGAAUAUUAAUUCCGUAAUUCCGAAUAAUGGAAUUUAUGGAAUUAAUUCAUGCAAAAAUAAACGGGUUUUGGUGGGGGCCCUACAUCAAAGAAUUUUCUUUAAAAUAAAAAUCAAUUUGAAUGAAUUGUGACAUGUGAUGACUUUUGUGCUCGUUUUAGUGACAUGUGAGCUAUGUUUAUGCUCUUUAUUGUACACUGACCCAAUUUUUUGUGAUAGCGCAUUGAUCGUUUGAUGCUAAGGUACGCCCUGCUCUCACUUUGAUCAUUCUUCAUUGAGUGUUCUGAUUUUCAUACGUGCAUAAUCAUUCUGGGUAUUUUCUGAUUUACACAUCAAUUGCCACGUUAGCUUCAUCUUAUUAGUAGAGACCCGUUUUUAGGGACUUAGAGGGGUGCUACGGUCUUUACCGUACCUUCCUGAUAAGUAACCUGACCCCCGAACCCGAUCCGGUUUUUCACAGACCGCAUUUUCCAAAAUAAGGAGUCACACUUAGGGUUUUUCUUUCUUAUUUUGUUUACCCUUUAAAAAUAAAACAAAAAUAAGUGGCGACUCCAAGUCAUUUUU